Molecule: ribosomal RNA, 538 nt
Filed under: Sphingobacteriaceae bacterium E01
Lineage: Bacteria; Pseudomonadati; Bacteroidota; Sphingobacteriia; Sphingobacteriales; Sphingobacteriaceae
Also listed under: 1 other name
Description: bacterial SSU rRNA
Rfam family: Bacterial small subunit ribosomal RNA
Source: RNAcentral
AGAUUGCUUUCGAUGAGAGUGGAGCACGGGUGUUUAACACGUAUGUAACCUACCUUGUUCUGGGGGAUACCCUCUCGAAAGAGAGAUUAAGACCGCAUAAUGUUAUUGAAUGGCAUCGUUUAGUAACCAACUAUUUAUAGGAUGGAUAUGGGCAUGCGGAACAUUCUUGUUUUGGUAAGGUAACGGCUUACCAAGGCUACCAUGUUUAGGGGAUCUGAGAGGAUGACCCCCCACACUGGUACUGAGACACGGACCAAACUCCUACGGGAGGCAGCAGUAAGGAAUAUUGGUCAAUGGGCGGAAGCCUGAACCAGCCAUGCCGCGUGCAAUAACACGGCCCUAUGGGUUGUAAACUGCUUUUAUACGGGAAUAAACCUACUUACGUGUAAGUAGCUGAAUGUACUGUAAGAAUAAGGAUCGGCUAACUCCGUGCCAUCAGCCGCGGUAAUACUGAGGAUCCAAUCGUUAUCCGGAUUUAUUGGGUUUAAAGGGUGCGUAGGUGGCUUUUUAAGUCACGCGUGAAAGACUGCACCUUAAC